CACACAGCUCAGUAGCACGUGGCUAACCUGCCCUUGGGACGGGAACAUCCCCGGGAAACUGGGGUUAAUUCUCGAUAGGUGAAGAUUCCUGGAAUGGGUUUUCGCCCAAAGGACGUUUAGGUCAUGCUUCUAGACGUUGCCCAAGGAUGGGGCCGCGGCCGAUCAGGCUGUUGGUGAGGUAAUGGCUCACCAAACCUUUGACCGGUUCGGGCCGUGGGAGCGGUAGCCCGGAGAUGGGCACUGAGACAAGGGCCCAGGCCCUACGGGGCGCAGCAGUCGCGAAAACUUCGCAAUAAGCGAAAGCUUGACGGGGCCAUCCCGAGUGCCAUCUGCUGAGGAUGGCUUUUACCCAGUAUAGAUAGCUGGGGGAAUAAGGAGAGGGCAAGUCUGGUGUCAGCCGCCGCGGUAAUACCAGCUCUCCGAGUUGUGGGGACGUUUAUUGAGCCUGAAGCAUCCGUAGCCGGCUGUGCAAGUCCUCUGUUAAAUCCAGCGAUAAAUCGUUGGCCUGCGGGGGAUACUGCUCGGCUAGGGGGCGGGAGAGGCCGUCGGUAUUCUUGGGGUAGGGGUGAAAUCCUAAUAAUCCCAGGAGGACCACCAGUGGCGAAGGCUGUCGGCUAGAACUCCCUCAACGGUGAGGGAUGAAAACUGGGGGAACCAACC
This 660-nucleotide ribosomal RNA is filed under the name uncultured archaeon. RNAcentral's name for it is "bacterial SSU rRNA". It matches the Rfam family "Archaeal small subunit ribosomal RNA", at positions 82 to 725 of the family's 1478-position model. The record is from RNAcentral.